GACGAACGCUGGCGGCGUGCCUAAUACAUGCAAGUCGAGCGCUGAAGGUUGGUACUUGUACCGACUGGAUGAGCAGCGAACGGGUGAGUAACGCGUGGGGAAUCUGCCUUUGAGCGGGGGACAACAUCUGGAAACGAAUGCUAAUACCGCAUAAAAACUUUAAACACAAGUUUCAAGUUUGAAAGAUGCAAUUGCAUCACUCAAAGAUGAUCCCGCGUUGUAUUAGCUAGUUGGGGAGGUAAAGGCCCACCAAGGCGAAGAUACAUAGCCGACCUGGGAGGGUGAUCGGCCACAAUGGGACUGGGACAAGGCCCAAGCCCCUAAGGGAGGCAGCAGUAGGGGAUUUUCGGCAAAGGACGGAAGUCUGGCCGAAGAACGCCGGGGGGGGGGAGAAGGUUUUCGGAUCGGAAAACUCUGUUGGUAGAGAAGAAAGUUGGUGAGAGUGAAAAGCUCAUGAAGUGACGGUACCUACACAGAAAGGGACGGCCAACUACGUG
RNAcentral lists this ribosomal RNA (497 nucleotides) under uncultured bacterium. Its description in RNAcentral is "partial 16S ribosomal RNA". It matches the Rfam family "Bacterial small subunit ribosomal RNA", at positions 28 to 507 of the family's 1533-position model. The record is from RNAcentral.